Long non-coding RNA from Biomphalaria glabrata, 701 nucleotides. RefSeq lists it as uncharacterized. The record is from RefSeq and is a predicted model, not a curated record. NCBI's taxonomy places the organism in Eukaryota, Metazoa, Mollusca, Gastropoda, Planorbidae. The transcript has 3 exons.
AAAAUAAUAAAUAAUAAUUACAUGUAAAGUAGCUUGUAAUUUUGAAUGAAAAUAACGUAGUCCUAGUUGGAAAUAAAUAUAGAGAGAUUUAUUUUAAACUUUCUCCAUUUAUUAAAAAGAAACUUUUAUUAAUUUCUUUAUACACAAAGAAGUUAAGUUUAGAAUGUUAUAUAUUUUUUUCCGUUUACAGCUGUUAAAUUUAAUUACACUUAAAAAAAGAGAAUGAAUUUUCCCUACACACAAUUUAUAAGUGCUAAAUUUUAUUAUUUUUUUAGCUUAUCAAUGGACAUCCAGCAAAAGAAUCCAUACAGUAUGAGUGGCUAAAAUUAGUAUGCAAACAAGGGAGAGCCACAAAACCAACAUCGAGUAAAGGCAUCCGGCCGAAUCAAAGGUCAUGGAAACAUGAUUGUGGUGCAGUGAUACGUGCUGUGAUAAGGCAUUCAGAUGUUACUGGCUACCAGUUUGUCAUCACAAAGGCAAUAUUGUCACAUGAGAAUCACCCCACAGAUCAUUUGACUGCACUUGUGUAUCCUGAAAAUAGAAGAAUAAAGCCUGAUGAAACCGUGGAUCUGAUGGUUGGCACCAAAAUACCGCAGUCAGAAUUGCGACAAAUCAUCUCGCAGAAACAGAACAAAUGUGUUCUUGGAAAGGAUGUGGAAAACUACAGGAGAAAACUGAAAGACCCCUGCACUGACAGUGAA